CCUACGGGAGGCAGCAGUGAGGAAUAUUGGUCAAUGGGCGGGAGCCUGAACCAGCCAAGCCGCGUGAGGGAAGAAGGUACAGCGUAUCGUAAACCUCUUUUGUCAGGGAACAAAGGCGGGGACUAGUCCCCGGAUGAGGGUACCUGAAGAAAAAGCAUCGGCUAACUCCGUGCCAGCAGCCGCGGUAAUACGGAGGAUGCGAGCGUUAUCCGGAUUUAUUGGGUUUAAAGGGUGCGCAGGCGGCCGGUUAAGUCAGCGGUAAAAGCCCGGGGCUCAACCCCGGCGCGCCGUUGAAACUGGCGGGCUGGAGUUGGAGAGAAGUACGCGGAAUGCGCGGUGUAGCGGUGAAAUGCUUAGAUAUCGCGCAGAACCCCGAUUGCGAAGGCAGCAUACCGGCUCCACACUGACGCUGAGGCACGAAAGCGUGGGUAUCGAACAGGAUUAGAUACCCGUGUAGUC
Molecule: ribosomal RNA, 459 nt
Filed under: uncultured bacterium
Lineage: Bacteria
Description: partial 16S ribosomal RNA
Rfam family: Bacterial small subunit ribosomal RNA
Source: RNAcentral